RNAcentral lists this ribosomal RNA (497 nucleotides) under uncultured bacterium. RNAcentral describes it as "partial 16S ribosomal RNA". It matches the Rfam family "Bacterial small subunit ribosomal RNA", at positions 28 to 507 of the family's 1533-position model. The record is from RNAcentral.
GAUGAACGCUGGCGGCGUGCCUAAUACAUGCAAGUCGAGCGAACAGACGAGGAUCUUGCUCCUCUGACGUUAGCGGCGGACGGGUGAGUAACACGUGGAUAACCUACCUAUAAGACUGUGAUAACUUCGGGAAACCGGCGCUAAUACCGGAUAAUAUAUUGAACCUCAUGGUUCAAUAGUGAAAGACGGUUUUGCUGUCACUUAUAGAUGGAUCCGCGCCGCAUUAGCUAGUUGGUAAGGUAACGGCUUACCAAGGCAACGAUGCGUAGCCGACCUGAGAGGGUGAUCGACCACACUGGAACUGAGACAGGGUACAGACACCUACGGGAGGAAGCAGUAGGGAAUCUUACGCAAUGGGCGAAAGCCUGACGGAGCAAAGCCGCGUGAGUGAUGAAGGUCUUCGGAUCGUAAAACUCUGUUAUUAGGGAAGAACAAAUGUGUAAGUAACUAUGCACGUAUUGACGGUACCUAAUCAGAAAGCCACGGCUAACUACGUG